CCAUGGCAGAGUCACCUUGCUCUCGACGGUGGAAUAGCUACCCGAGUGAUAGGCCGGGUUGUGUGGGUUAGACUAGGGACCACUGGAGCCUAUCAAGAGUCUGCUAUGCUCUAUAUAGGAGGCUGGUAAGCUUGCACACAAGAGAACAAACUGGUACCGUAUCUGCGCCCGUUAUAUCGAGUUUAUGCCAGAGGUGCUCCGGUCCAUGUACUCUGUGACGCCGCAACCGGCGCACUGUGAUGACGUAAUUUUGAACCGUACAUUACGUGUCGGGUUUUUGGCGCCAUGGACUACAGACACAGAGGUAUUUCGUUACAGCCGGACCGGGUGCAGCGAUGUGAGGCGCACGUCGCAGGAUUGUGAUGUCACCGGACGGGCUCCCUGCACGAGACACACGCUGAUGGAGGCACUGGGUGUUCUUCUAUAAAGAUGUUUUGAAGUGCCUAUCUUGAUAAAGGUCCACAUAUGGACCGAAACGUCAAUGAUUGACGGCAUCACUUUUGAACUUGAUUAAACCAAGUUGACUCAACAAGUGGACUCAGAGACUGAUUUUGGCGAGAGUGCACCUUCCACUUUGGUGGUAGUUGCGGUAUAUAUAUCCCCUUGAUGAAGUCCUGUUGCUGACGGACGAAACGCGUUGGGAAUACCUGCAGACAUCUCCUCUCUAUGGACAGAUAAGCCUAUAACAAUUUUAAAUCCUGUACGCAUGCAUUUCAGUCAUUUACAUGGACAGAUAAGCCUGAUAUAAUUUUUUUAUUCUGUACGCAUGUUA
Long non-coding RNA from Pseudophryne corroboree (corroboree frog), 772 nucleotides. RefSeq lists it as uncharacterized. The transcript has 5 exons. Lineage: Eukaryota; Metazoa; Chordata; Amphibia; Anura; Myobatrachidae. The record is from RefSeq and is a predicted model, not a curated record.